UACGGGGGGGGCAAGCGUUGUUCGGAAUUACUGGGCGUAAAGGGCGCGUAGGCGGCCAUCUAAGUCAGACGUGAAUCCCUCGGCUACAACCGAGGAACUGCGUCUGAUACUGGAAGGCUUGAAUCCGGGAGAGGGAUGUGGAAUUCCAGGUGUAGCGGUGAAAUGACGUAGAUAUCGGGAGGAACACCAGUGGCGAAGGCGACUGACCUGGCCUGUUCUUGACGCUGAGGCGCGAAAGCUAGGGGAGCAAACGGGG
RNAcentral lists this ribosomal RNA (256 nucleotides) under uncultured bacterium. RNAcentral's name for it is "partial 16S ribosomal RNA". It matches the Rfam family "Bacterial small subunit ribosomal RNA", at positions 524 to 777 of the family's 1533-position model. The record is from RNAcentral.